AUAACGUGCCACAGGUUUAUUGGAGCUUGGGUGGAAAAAUUCGUUAUUCCGCAACCAAACCGUUUUUCCUGAUGAUAAAUCUCGACAACGGUGAACGGGAAUAAACAUUUCAUUGCGGAUCGCUGCGAGCGGUGACAGAUGGUAAUUUUUCACGCCACUAUCGAAGAAUCGCAAAUGUUAAUUGGUAUUAGAAUUGUGGAAGGUUUCUCGCUCGUUCGUUUGCAGUCUGCGCAGAUGCAGACAUGAAGUUCUUUAAGUUGAGUGACAUAACGUGGAGAGUUUCGAAAUGAUAAUGACCAUCCGGGAGGACCCGAAUCUUCUAAUUGAGAGAGGAAACCACUCCCCGAAUAUCAAAGGGCCACGUAUCGCUCUAGUUUCUGCUGGCUGUAUCCACUCAGCAGAUAUAACACCACCUCAAUGCCAUGAUCCCAAGUUACACGCUGCGUCAGAAUCCGAGCUCACCUUGAUCCUCAGCUUCCGUUUACACAUGCAGCAAUGUUUACAGUGAAAGUUCGACGUUAAUUCGAAACUUCACUCUGCGAUAGCGAGCAAAACAGAGCAGAGAGCUCGGUUAUUCACGAUUGAAAAGUGUUAAAUGGUUUG
Long non-coding RNA from Neodiprion fabricii, 603 nucleotides. RefSeq lists it as uncharacterized. The record is from RefSeq and is a predicted model, not a curated record. The transcript has 2 exons. NCBI's taxonomy places the organism in Eukaryota, Metazoa, Arthropoda, Insecta, Hymenoptera, Diprionidae.